UACCAGCUCUCCGAGUAGUAGGGAUGAUUAUUGGGCUUAAAGCGUCCGUAGCUGGCUUAGCAAGUCUCCUGUUAAAUUCAGCGACCUAAUCGUUGAGCCGCGGGAGAUACUACUAGGCUAGGAGGCGGGAGAGGUCGACGGUACUUUCGGGGUAGGGGUGAAAUCCUAUAAUCCCGGGAGGACCACCAGUGGCGAAGGCUGUCGACUAGAACGCGCUCGACGGUGAGGGACGAAAGCUGGGGGAGCGAACCGGAUUAGAUACCCGGGUAGUCCCAGCUGUAAACUAUGCGGGCUAGGUGUUGGGGUGGCUACGGGCCACUUCAGUGCCGCAGGGAAGCCAUUAAGCCCGCCGCCUUGGGAGUACGGCCGCAAGGCUGAAACUUAAGGAAUUGGCGGGGGAGCACCACAAGGCGUGAAGCUUGCGGUUC
RNAcentral lists this ribosomal RNA (428 nucleotides) under uncultured archaeon. RNAcentral describes it as "bacterial SSU rRNA". It matches the Rfam family "Archaeal small subunit ribosomal RNA", at positions 474 to 903 of the family's 1478-position model. The record is from RNAcentral.